UCUGAUUUCGCCUAAAGUUGACUGAUGCUAGUCGGCUGUUGGCAUUAUGGCGGUUUGCUUACAUUCCUCCUAAUCAAUUGCAAAGCGGAAAAUUUUCCAAUUUUUCCUUUGAAACUCUUCCAAAUUGUCAUAAAAUGACUUAUUACUAGGUGAAAAAUUAAUUCGCCCCUUUUAAUCAACAUUUGUGAUACUUUCGGUGGUUUCACUUUAUGUAGUGAGAAGCAGAUUCCUUGAGACUCUGAGCCUGGUCCGCAGAUUGUUCAACUUCUUAAUGGAUAAUUUUAGUUAUUGAACUUUCUUUUGACUUUAAAUGGUGUAUAAUUUUUUCUAGACAGUAUCAAUACCCUUUGAUCAACUUCUCAAUCUAUUAACCUCAAUAUCAUGUCGCAGGAUAGAGAUAUUUUAGCUAUUUGAGAUCUGUCAAGAACCUGAUCACAGCAGCACUGCCAGUCUUACAGAUACACUGUAUUGAAAUUUGAUGAUAAAAAUUUACUGUCUAUGUCAUGAGCUGCUCACUAUGAUAAGUAUUAAUCGUGGAUCAAAUGCUUGAUGUCUCCAACAUCCUAUCUCUAAGCCUGAUGUAGUGCGUUGAAAGCGGAGUGUUAUGGCUGCGAAGCGUCGAUAUUUGUUGUUGAGGAGGCGUGUUAAUGAAACGUUUGGAUAAGCUCGCAAGCUGUACGAAUUCUUUUGUGUGUGGAAAAUAACUGAAUGUCCAGAAUUCUAAACAUCUGACUGUAUCUCAAGUACCUAAAGGAAAUGUUGGCCAGGUCAGAGUUUGUGAAUCCUUGACAGCAGUUAAUGCAAUUCUUCUGCGUAUUUAAGGCCUUCGCUCAUCAAAGUUAGUUAUGUUUACAAACGUGUUUCGUGGGGCGAAAAGUAAAUUCCCGGUGCUGUGAACUGAAGCCCAAAUGACAAAUCUAGCUUUUGAGGAAGGCUUUGGUAAGUGCUUUAUUGUUUCAUCUAUAGUUUUAUGUACUAUUUCCAGUGAUUACUUUGGUAAUUAUUCCAAUUGAGUACUAUUUAUGAUUUUUUUUCUCUGAAAUUCCGAAAUGGGGUUAACUGAACACUACCAAAUGGGGUUAACUGAACACUACCAAAUGGGAAUAAAGAGGGCAUUCCCAGUUAACCCCAUGGAUUACAAGUUAGCCAAAACAUUCACUAAAACUUGUUUUUUGAUUUUAAUUGCAGUAUUUUAACAACUAAAAGGAGAAAAAGGACAAUCAACCAUGGGACCUAUUCAAAAGUCAUUGAAAUAAAUUUUCCGUAUCUCUUAGUGAAAAUGUACAUAAUAUAAGUAUUAAGACAAACAAAAAAUCAUCCUCAGAUGUAUUUCUUUAAUUUUUAAGACUUUUCCACUUGUUCAUUUGACUUAAUAAAAGUUUCCUCUUUCAAA
Molecule: non-coding RNA, 1393 nt
Organism: Bemisia tabaci
Lineage: Eukaryota; Metazoa; Arthropoda; Insecta; Hemiptera; Aleyrodidae
Source: RefSeq, a predicted model, not a curated record